UGGGGAAUUUUGGACAAUGGGGGCAACCCUGAUCCAGCCAUUCCGCGUGAGUGAAGAAGGCCUUCGGGUUGUAAAGCUCUUUCGCAAGGGAAGAAAGCUUAGUCUCUAACAUAGACUGAGGUUGACGGUACCUUGAUAAGAAGCACCGGCUAACUACGUGCCAGCAGCCGCGGUAAUACGUAGGGUGCGAGCGUUAAUCGGAAUUACUGGGCGUAAAGCGUGCGCAGGCGGUUUUGUAAGUCAGAUGUGAAAUCCCCGAGCUCAACUUGGGAACUGCGUUUGAAACUACAAGACUAGAAUAUGUCAGAGGGGGGUAGAAUUCCACGUGUAGCAGUGAAAUGCGUAGAGAUGUGGAGGAAUACCAAUGGCGAAGGCAGCCCCCUGGGAUAAUAUUGACGCUCAGGCACGAAAGCGUGGGGAGCAAACAG
This 428-nucleotide ribosomal RNA is filed under the name uncultured bacterium. RNAcentral describes it as "bacterial SSU rRNA". It matches the Rfam family "Bacterial small subunit ribosomal RNA", at positions 355 to 775 of the family's 1533-position model. The record is from RNAcentral.